RNAcentral lists this ribosomal RNA (253 nucleotides) under uncultured bacterium. RNAcentral describes it as "partial 16S ribosomal RNA". It matches the Rfam family "Bacterial small subunit ribosomal RNA", at positions 524 to 776 of the family's 1533-position model. The record is from RNAcentral.
UACGUAGGUGGCAAGCGUUGUCCGGAUUUAUUGGGUUUAAAGGGUGCGUAGGCGGCCCUGUAAGUCAGUGCUGAAAUAUCCCGGCUUAACCGGGAGGGUGGCAUUGAUACUGCAGGGCUUGAGUAAGGUUGAGGUAGGCGGAAUUGACGGUGUAGCGGUGAAAUGCUUAGAUAUCGUCAAGAACACCGAUAGUGUAGACAGCUUACUAAGCUUUAACUGACGCUGAGGCACGAAAGUGUGGGGAUCAAACAGG